GUGUCAGCCGCCGCGGUAAUACGUAGGGUGCGAGCGUUGUCCGGAAUUACUGGGCGUAAAGAGCUCGUAGGCGGUUUGUCGCGUCGUCUGUGAAAUUCUGCAGCUUAACUGUAGGCGUGCAGGCGAUACGGGCAGACUUGAGUACUACAGGGGAGACUGGAAUUCCUGGUGUAGCGGUGAAAUGCGCAGAUAUCAGGAGGAACACCGGUGGCGAAGGCGGGUCUCUGGGUAGUAACUGACGCUGAGGAGCGAAAGCGUGGGUAGCGAACAGGAUUAGAUACCCUGGUAGUCCACGCCGUAAACGGUGGGUACUAGGUGUGGGUUCCUUUUCACGGGAUCCGUGCCGUAGCUAACGCAUUAAGUACCCCGCCUGGGGAGUACGGCCGCAAGGCUAAAACUCAAAGGAAUUGGCGG
RNAcentral lists this ribosomal RNA (414 nucleotides) under uncultured bacterium. RNAcentral describes it as "bacterial SSU rRNA". It matches the Rfam family "Bacterial small subunit ribosomal RNA", at positions 505 to 916 of the family's 1533-position model. The record is from RNAcentral.